This 91-nucleotide transfer RNA is filed under the name Halobacillus sp. BAB-2008. Its description in RNAcentral is "tRNA-Ser". The stretch from base 12 to 83 matches the Rfam family "tRNA". Rfam says of the family: Transfer RNA (tRNA) molecules are approximately 80 nucleotides in length. Their secondary structure includes four short double-helical elements and three loops (D, anti-codon, and T loops). Lineage: Bacteria; Bacillati; Bacillota; Bacilli; Caryophanales; Bacillaceae. The record is from RNAcentral.
AUAAUAACUAUUCCAACGUAGCUCAGUGGUAGAGCAAUCGGCUGUUAACCGAUCGGUCGUAGGUUCGAAUCCUACCGUUGGAGCCAUUACG